RNAcentral lists this ribosomal RNA (440 nucleotides) under uncultured bacterium. Its description in RNAcentral is "partial 16S ribosomal RNA". It matches the Rfam family "Bacterial small subunit ribosomal RNA", at positions 339 to 795 of the family's 1533-position model. The record is from RNAcentral.
CUACGGGAGGCAGCCGUGAGGAAUAUUGCACAAUGGGGGGAACCCUGAUGCAGCAACGCCGCGUGGAGGAUGACGCAUUUCGGUGUGUAAACUCCUUUUAUAUGUCAAGAAAAUGACGGUAGCAUAUGAAUAAGCACCGGCUAACUCCGUGCCAGCAGCCGCGGUAAUACGGAGGGUGCAAGCGUGUACUCGGAAUCACUGGGCGUAAAGGACGCGUAGGCGGGUUGGAAAGUCAGGUGUGAAAUCCUACAGCUUAACUGUAGAACUGCACUUGAAACUUCUAAUCUAGAGUAUGGGAGGGGGAGAUGGAAUUAGUGGUGUAGGGGUAAAAUCCGUAGAUAUCACUAGGAAUACCUAAAGCGAAGGCGAUCUCCUGGAACAUUACUGACGCUAAGGCGUGAAUGCGUGGGGAGCAAACAGGAUUAGAUACCCGAGUAGUC